GGAACUGAGCUCUGUUGCUAUGAAGAAUACAGCUCAUGCACAGGACAUAUUUGGCUAAGACACAGCUACUUAUGAUGUCUACAUAAAUAACAUGAUCAGAGGACUUUGACCCAGCAGUCCUGGAAGCUCACGAAGACACUGUGCUGUGAUCCUGGAAAGAAAGGGAAGAGAGAGAAGGCCACGUAUGGUGGCUCACACCUGUUAUCUCAGCACUUUGGGAGGCCAAAGUAGUAAGAUUGCUUGAAGUCAGGAGUUCAAGAAAGGGAAGAGAGGAGCACUGUAGGUGAAGGCUGAGGCAGAGCUUUCUCUGAACUAAAAGAGGCCAGAUGUUGGCAACAGUGCCUCUGCGGGAGAAACUGAGCCCUGCACUAUGUUCGAAACAGAAGCUCAAAGGGGAAACCCCAGAAAGAAACUCCCAAAGUCACCCCUGAUUCUUCCACGUCCCAAACCUGAUAUAAAAGCCAUGAAGCCACUGGACCGAGUGACCAUGAGGCAGCAGCCCCUGAGAGUGUCAGAAUUCAAGUAUGACUUGGUGGCCUGUGAUAGAUGGCCAGCUAAGGAAGCCUUCCUAAUAUCUUGGUGCUGUGUCACUCCCCAGGAGCUAGGCCAACUAUGGGAAUGAAGAGGAAAUGGAAAAGAACCCAGAACGCCUGACCACCAACCCAGCAGGAUGGCUGCUGGGGUCUUAUUAAAUUAGUAAAAAAGAAAACAAAAGUGAUUUGUCAAUUACGUCACUGCCAUUUUUAGGAGAAAUUGUGAUCCUGUCACCCUUUUCCAGUAGAAGAGAUGUGGCCUGCUCACAACGCAGAUUCACCUCCAAUAGUGACCUCCUGAGCAAAAAGAGAAAUCCAUUUCCAUGUUCAUUUGGGCCUUUGGCCUGCCUACUGAGUAGGCCUGCAAGGCUGAAAACCAUGCUAAUUACAUAAGUGAUUUAAUUUCGAUAAUGUAAGAGCUGACCAUUAGAUAUCAAACCAGAUUUGAGAGGGAUUUGCUCUGCUUCAUGAUGUCAGAAUUGUCCACCAUUAGGCUGCUUCAUGCAGACUUUCUUUUUUUUUUACUAGUUGAAAGUAUUUAUAAAUAAUUUCAAAGAUUAAAAAACAUCAAGAAAUUUUAAAAGUCAAAAGCAUACCAAGGUUCUUGUGUGUAGAUAAUAUACAAACGUAAAAUAGAGAGGGUUUGUACCAGACCUUAAAAUGUGAUUGAUUUAGAGGCUCAGGUAUGAUUAACUUGAUUUUUUUUAUUUUUAUUUUUUUUGCUUCUGACACAAACUAAUCAUAGAAAAUGUCUUUUUCCAACCACUGUAGAGUUUAGUUUGGGGUACCUUGUAGAAAAUUGAUCCCAGCUACUGUGGAUAUAGUCAAGAAGAGACAUCAUUUCAAAUGUUUGAUGUGAUCCAUUAGGAAAAUUCCAAAUAUUGCCACAGGUUAAUCUUACCCUGCGUAGCAAAGUGGUUUCUUUCCUGCAAAGAUUAGUAUCCUUAAGAUUUAUUAAAUCCUGCAUCAACUGUA
Molecule: non-coding RNA, 1508 nt
Organism: Macaca mulatta (Rhesus monkey)
Lineage: Eukaryota; Metazoa; Chordata; Mammalia; Primates; Cercopithecidae
Source: RefSeq, a predicted model, not a curated record